RNAcentral lists this ribosomal RNA (254 nucleotides) under uncultured bacterium. RNAcentral describes it as "partial 16S ribosomal RNA". It matches the Rfam family "Bacterial small subunit ribosomal RNA", at positions 524 to 776 of the family's 1533-position model. The record is from RNAcentral.
UACGUAGGGUGCGAGCGUUGUCCGGAAUUAUUGGGCGUAAAGGGCUCGUAGGCGGUCUGUUGCGUCAGGAGUGAAAACUCGGGGCUUAACCCCGGGCCUGCAGUCGAUACGGGCGGACUAGAGUUCGGUAGGGGAGACUGGAAUUCCUGGUGUAGCGGUGAAAUGCGCAGAUAUCAGGAGGAACACCGGUGGCGAAGGCGGCAUCCUGGACCAACACUGACGCUGAGUGAGCGAAAGCCAGGGGAGCAAACAGG